Molecule: ribosomal RNA, 492 nt
Filed under: uncultured bacterium
Lineage: Bacteria
Description: partial 16S ribosomal RNA
Rfam family: Bacterial small subunit ribosomal RNA
Source: RNAcentral
AGUGAACGCUGGCGGUAGGCCUAACACAUGCAAGUCGAACGGCAGCACAGUAAGAGCUUGCUCUUACGGGUGGCGAGUGGCGGACGGGUGAGGAAUACAUCGGAAUCUACUUUUUCGUGGGGGAUAACGUAGGGAAACUUACGCUAAUACCGCAUACGACCUACGGGUGAAAGCAGGGGAUCUUCGGACCUUGCGCGAUUGAAUGAGCCGAUGUCGGAUUAGCUAGUUGGCGGGGUAAAGGCCCACCAAGGCGACGAUCCGUAGCUGAUCUGAGAGGAUAAUCAGCCACACUGGAACUGAGACACGGUCCAGACUCCUACGGGAGGCAGCAGUGGGGAAUAUUGGACAAUGGGCGCAAGCCUGAUCCAGCCAUACCGCGUGGGUGAAGAAGGCCUUCGGGUUGUAAAGCCCUUUUGUUGGGAAAGAAAAGCAGCAGGUUAAUACCCCGCUGUUCUGACGGUACCCAAAGAAUAAGCACCGGCUAACUUCGUG